RNAcentral lists this ribosomal RNA (253 nucleotides) under uncultured bacterium. Its description in RNAcentral is "partial 16S ribosomal RNA". It matches the Rfam family "Bacterial small subunit ribosomal RNA", at positions 524 to 776 of the family's 1533-position model. The record is from RNAcentral.
UACAGAGGUGGCAAGCGUUGUUCGGAAUUACUGGGCGUAAAGGGCGCGUAGGCGGCCUCGCAAGUCCCGUGUGAAAUCCCUCGGCUCAACUGAGGAAUGGCACGGGAAACUGCGGGGCUUGAGUUCGGGAGAGGGAAGCGGAAUUCCUGGUGUAGCGGUGAAAUGCGCAGAUAUCAGGAGGAACACCGAUGGCGAAGGCAGGUCUCUGGGCAUUAACUGACGCUGAGGAGCGAAAGCAUGGGGAGCGAACAGG